This 468-nucleotide ribosomal RNA is filed under the name uncultured bacterium. RNAcentral describes it as "partial 16S ribosomal RNA". It matches the Rfam family "Bacterial small subunit ribosomal RNA", at positions 28 to 507 of the family's 1533-position model. The record is from RNAcentral.
GACGAACGCUGGCGGCGUGCUUAACACAUGCCAGUCGAACGGAAAGGCCAGGCGCUUGUGGGUGGCUCGAGUGCCGAACGGGUGAGUAACACGUGAGUAACCUGCCCUUGACUUUGGGAUAACUUCAGGAAACUGGGGCUAAUACCGGAUAGGAGCUCCUGCUGCAUGGUGGGGGUUGGAAAGUUUCGGCGGUUGGGGAUGGACUCGCGGCUUAUCAGCUUGUUGGUGGGGUAGUGGCUUCCCAAGGCUUUGACGGGUAGCCGGCCUUAGAGGGUGACCGGCCCCCCUGGCACUUGGAAAGGCCCUAGACUCAUCCCUGAGGCAGCAGUGGGGAAGACUGCAUAAUGAGACGAGGCCUGCUGCAGCACUGUAGCGUGCGGGAUGCAGGCCUUCGGGUUGAGAACCGCUUUCGCGUGUAGUGAGGAGUGAGUGACGGUAAUGGGUGAAGAAGCCCCGGCUAACUACGUG